RNAcentral lists this ribosomal RNA (301 nucleotides) under uncultured bacterium. RNAcentral describes it as "partial 16S ribosomal RNA". It matches the Rfam family "Bacterial small subunit ribosomal RNA", at positions 509 to 808 of the family's 1533-position model. The record is from RNAcentral.
CAGUCGCCGCGGGAAUACGUAGGGGGCGAGCGUUGUCCGAAGUUACUGGGCGUAAAGCGCGCGUAGGCGGCUUCUUAAGUCUGAGGUGAAAGGUUCAACGCUUAACGUGAACAGUGCCUUGGAUACUGGGGAGCUUGAGUAUGGGAGAGGGCAGUGGAAUGGCUGGUGUAGCGGUGAAAUGCGUAGAUAUCAGUCGGAACACCCAUGGCGAAGGCAGCUGCCUGGCCUAAUACUGACGCUGAGGUGCGAAAGCGUGGGGAGCGAACGGGAUUAGAUACCCGUGUAGUCCCUGUCUCUUAUA